UUGCUUCCGCAGCAUAUAUACUAAAAUUGGAAGGAUACAGAGGAGAUUAGCAUAGCCCCUUCGCAGGGAUAAUUUGUGAAUUCGUGAGGUGUUCCAUAUUUUU
This is a small nuclear RNA of Phyllostomus discolor (pale spear-nosed bat), 103 nucleotides long. The record is from RefSeq and is a predicted model, not a curated record. Lineage: Eukaryota; Metazoa; Chordata; Mammalia; Chiroptera; Phyllostomidae.